Molecule: ribosomal RNA, 402 nt
Filed under: uncultured bacterium
Lineage: Bacteria
Description: partial 16S ribosomal RNA
Rfam family: Bacterial small subunit ribosomal RNA
Source: RNAcentral
UAAGGAAUUUUCCACAAUGGGCGCAAGCCUGAUGGAGCAAUACCGCGUGAAGGAUGAAUGUCUUCGGAUUGUAAACUUCUUUUAAAUGGGAAGAUUAUGACGGUACCAUUUGAAUAAGCAUCGGCUAACUACGUGCCAGCAGCCGCGGUGAUACGUAGGAUGCAAGCGUUAUCCGGAAUUAUUGGGCGUAAAGAGUGUGUAGGCGGUAUGUUAAGUUAUGUGUUAAAUCUCAGGGCUCAACUCUGAAGCUGCAUAUAAUACUGGCAUACUUGAGGUUGUGAGAGGUAAGCGGAAUUAGUGGAGUAGCGGUGAAAUGCGUAGAUAUCACUAAGAACACCAAUGGCGAAGGCAGCUUACUGGCACAAUCCUGACGCUGAGACACGAAAGCGUGGGGAGCGAACA